AUGCAAGUCGAGCGGAAACGAUCCUAGCUUGCUAGGAGGCGUCGAGCGGCGGACGGGUGAGUAACGCGUGAGAAUCUACCCAUGAGUGGGGGACAACCCGGGGAAACUCGGGCUAAUACCGCAUACGCCCUACGGGGUAAAGCAGGGGACCUUCGGGCCUUGCGCUGAUGGAUGAGCUCGCGUCGGAUUAGCUUGUUGGUGAGGUAAAGGCUCACCAAGGCGACGAUCCGUAGCUGGUCUGAGAGGAUGAUCAGCCACACCGGGACUGAGACACGGCCCGGACUCCUACGGGAGGCAGCAGUGGGGAAUCUUGGACAAUGGGGGCAACCCUGAUCCAGCCAUGCCGCGUGUGUGAAGAAGGCCUUCGGGUUGUAAAGCACUUUCAGCAGGGAGGAAGGCUUACCCCUAAUACGGGUGAGUACUUGACGUUACCUGCAGAAGAAGCACCGGCUAAUUUCGUGCCAGCAGCCGCGGUAAUACGAAAGGUGCAAGCGUUAAUCGGAAUUACUGGGCGUAAAGCGCGCGUAGGCGGUGUGUUAAGUCGGAUGUGAAAGCCCAGGGCUCAACCUUGGAAUUGCAUCCGAUACUGGCACGCUAGAGUGCAGUAG
RNAcentral lists this ribosomal RNA (608 nucleotides) under Alloalcanivorax venustensis. RNAcentral describes it as "bacterial SSU rRNA". It matches the Rfam family "Bacterial small subunit ribosomal RNA", at positions 55 to 654 of the family's 1533-position model. The record is from RNAcentral. Lineage: Bacteria; Pseudomonadati; Pseudomonadota; Gammaproteobacteria; Oceanospirillales; Alcanivoracaceae.